RNAcentral lists this long non-coding RNA (2498 nucleotides) under Homo sapiens (human). RNAcentral's name for it is "non-protein coding lnc-NXPH2-3:3". Lineage: Eukaryota; Metazoa; Chordata; Mammalia; Primates; Hominidae. The record is from RNAcentral.
CAGCAAUUUUUGUUUUGUUUUGUUUUUGACAGGGCUGUCACCCAGGCUGGAGUGCAGUGGUGCCAUCACAGCUCACUGCAGCCUCGACCUCCUAGGCUAAAGUGAUCCUCCCAACUCAGCCUCCCGUAGCUGGGACUACAGGAAUGUGCCACGCCCAGGUAAUCUUAAUUUUUUGUGGAGACGAGGUCUUGCUAUGUGGCCCAAGCAGAUCUCGAACUCCUGAGCUCAAGGGAUCCUCCCACCUUGGUCUCCCAAAGUGCUGGGAUUUGCAGGCGUGAACCACCACACCUGGCCAUAAACCAACUUCUCAUUGCUUACCUGGCUUUCCAAGAAAAGAGAGAGGGCAGAGGGAAAAUAUUUAUUAUUUUGCUAUGUACUGAGUAUUCUAAGCAUGGACUUGUAUCGUCUCUGUUCUCUCAACAACCUCUCUAAAACUUCAACGUAGAAAUUUCCAUCUUAAAAUUAAGCGACAAGAACUAGAAAUGGCAAGUAAUUCAUCCAGAGGUUACUGGGAUUUGAAUACUGGACAGGCAGAUCCCCCUCAUUUCAAAUUAAUACUACAUUAGCUGUCUUUUUUAUUUCUUUUUUCUUUUUGUUUGUUUGAGACAGGAUCUCGCUUUGUACGCCAGGCUGGAGUGCAGUGGCGCGAUCCUGGGUCACCUCCCAGAUUCAAGCAAUUCUGUGCCUCAGCCACCAAGUAUCUGGGACUACAGGCGUGAGCCCGGCUAAUUUUUGUAUUUUUAGUAGAAACAGAGUCUCACCAUAUUGCCCAGGCUGGGCUCAAACUCCUGGCCUCAAGUGAUCCUCCCACUUCUGCCUCCCAAAAUGCUGGGAUUAGCACCUGACCUUACGUUAGCAAUCCUGUUGACUUAUUUAAGACAAAACGUGCUUUAAGACAAAAUCUGUGCCAAAGGUUUUCAGAUAAAGAUAAAAUUAGCAAUGUAACCAUAAAAUUCAAAGUUGCCUUGGGCUGAGUUGGUAGAAUGUUUAUGCAGAUCAAGGAACUCCAAAAGUUAAAAAACAGAAGUGGAAGUGAGCAUUAGGGAAUGGGGAAAGAGUUGGUGGAGAGAGGAAAUAUUUGUGUAAACAUUUAACCAUCUCCAAACACCAGCAAAGAACAGUUGAAACGAUUUGCUAUACUCACUGUCCACCCGUGUUAACUUUAUGGUAUGUGACAUACAGCAAAAAUUACAUGUAAUUUUUGACUAAGCCUUUUAGCUCUUUCAAUCCCUUCGUAGUAUGUCACCCCCUCUCUUCCCAUAAUUAAAAAUUAUAAGACACCUAGUAAAUAUAAUACACUCAUAGAAUUAAGUUAUAAGUCCAUCAAGUACAUUUCCAAUUGGAAGUUAAGAGUGAUGCUGACCCUUCACAGUUGACUGGGCUGAAGUUGGGAACUGAUUCAAUAAACUUCCACCACAAGGAUGUCAAAUUGCUCCUCAGGGUAUUCUCAGAGAGUCUUUUCCCUAGGCUUGAUCUCCUUACCCUAAGUGUUAGGACACACCAUUCCUCUCUUGCUUGCAGUAUUCAAUGACUUUACCCACUAAUAAAAUGAUAGUAAAUAGUAAGAGUGAAUAUGGCUUGUAAGUAAUGCUAACAAAACUGUGAUGGCUUAGCAAAGUAAAAGAUGGUUUUAUGGUCAGUAAGUUUGGAUUAAAGCUUACUAAAGCUUGAUGCUUUGUUACCAGUCUGCUAAAGAACUACCUUCUUAAUUUGAUUUCCUACUUACUGGAUACCUAUUGGAAAACUAGAGAGAUAUGAUAGGCUUUCAUUUAUUGCUGCCGUAAAUAAAUUUUUAAAAUAGAGAAAUAACAGCUUUGUCAUUAGUGUAGAGCACAGUUUGCCUCUGCUAGGUCAGUAUUGGGCUUGCUUCGUUUAAGUCAUUAACCAUUAGGAUCACCCAACUUGUCCUGCCUAAAAGCCUACUGAAAAAACAUGCAUAUAACUUUUGCAUAUUUAUUUUGCUACUUAUUGUUGAUUUUCUAUAGGAAACUAUUUAUACUCCUCAGUGUAUAUGGCCAACUUGGAAGUUCUACUUCCUAUAAUUAUGUCAGCAGUUAGUGAAGAUGAUCAAAACAGCCAUUCUGAAUUUAAUAAACAGAUGAGCCUCAGACUCUGGAUCUCCAUGACCCAACCCUAUGAGGCUCUGCCUGAAGAACCAAUCAAGCUUCCCACUUUGAUAUUUUAGUGACUGUAGCAUCUUGUUCCUCUUCUAAAUUAAACACCACAGAUGCUCCCAUUUCAUGGCUGUGUAGGCACGAUGGACUCACCACUGCCUUCCAUACCACCACCUGGUUUAUACAAUAAUUUUCCAAUUCUAGUUGUCCAAAACGAAGCUAUACAAAACUCACAAAUCCAUUAUUGUCUUCCAUGUAGAGAUAAAAAAGCAAGGAAUAUGCUUGUUAAAAAGCAUGCAAUACUUUAUGAAUCCUCGGUGAUGUACUUUUUGGGCUCGCUGCUGCUGGAGAUUUUGCUAAUGCCCCUACACGUUUUAAUGCAGU